Molecule: long non-coding RNA, 4244 nt
Filed under: Homo sapiens (human)
Lineage: Eukaryota; Metazoa; Chordata; Mammalia; Primates; Hominidae
Description: non-protein coding lnc-FER1L6-1:6
Rfam family: Metazoan signal recognition particle RNA (bases 2496-2643)
Source: RNAcentral
AGGGAAGAGCCACAGCUCUGGAGAGCACUCUUUUCUUCUGGUCCAUUAUUUUCCCUGAAGAGACCCCUGACGCCUAAAGAGAUGGGGUCUCACUAUAUUCCCCAGGAUGGUCUCCAACUCCUGGACUCAAGCAAUCUUCCCACCUCAGACUACAGGCAUGAGCCACCAUGCCCAGCCAUAUUGUUCAUUUUUAACCCUGUCUCAGUGUGGCCUGCUCCCAGAACUGUUUCUCCUGACUUCUCAUUUCACCAAGAAGACAUGGACUCAGAAAAAUGAAGAGAGAAACACAAAGACACAGGAGCAGCAACCAAGCCCCUCUUCUCCAGGCAAUCAUCUGACUUCAAUUGGCAUAGACCCCUUAGGGGUGUGGACACUGUCUGAAAGUAUCUGGAGAGACCAAGUUUCAGCAGCCACUAAGCUGUCAAGGCUCUUUAAAAAUCUGAUUCCUGGCCAGGCACGGGGGCGCACGCCUGUCACCCCAGUACUUUGGGAGGCUGUGGUGGGCAGAUCACUUGAGGCCAGGAGUUCUAGAUCAGCCUGGCCAACAUGACGAAACCCCAUCUCUACUAAAAAUAUGAAAAUUAGCUGGGUGUGGUAGUGCACACCUGUAAUCCCAGCUACUCGGGAGGCUGAAGCAGGAGAAUCGCUUGAACCCAGAAGGCGGAGGUUGCAGUGAGCCGAUAUCGCACCAUUGCACUCCAGCCUGGGCAACAGAGUGAGAUUCUGUGUCAAAAAAAAAAAAAAAAAAAAAUCUGAUUCCACUGUUCUGAGUGUGAGGCUGUCCAAGCCUCCACUGUUUUUCCUCUGUGCUCUGAGCCCAGACUGAAAUCUGUAGAGAGUGGCAACGUGUGGGAUGGAAAGAAAAUGAGCUUUGAGGUCUAACAGGAAUGGGGCUGAAUCCCACUCCUGUGACUUAGGAGCUAUGACUUUCCCUGCAGGGCUCUGCCAUGAUUAAAGGAAAUAAUCUAUAUACAUGUGCCAGUGCACACAGUAGCUGCUCAAUAUAGGAAAGUAGUUUGUUUCGAUUCAUGUGAUUGUGAAUCUCGAACAUACCUGUGCUUGUAUCUUGUCACAGUCGCUUCGUCCCUGGGUGACAUCCAAUCCAUCCUUUCAGUCCUAGGUUAACUGAUACCUCCUCUGGGAAGCAGCACCUGAUUUCCAAGCCAAAUAAGACAUCACAUGGAAAUAUAACCAUGUCAUUGCCCCAUGCAAAAUUAUCUGGUGAUUCUCCAUUGCCUAGAGAACAAAAUUGAUGUCUCCUAAGCAAGAACAACAAGGCUCUUUCUGAUUUAACAAUUGCCCCCAGUUCUUCCCCAAACCCCGCCCUCAUUUAAUAUUCCAGCCAUAUGCAUCUAUGGUGGCUUCCUGAAUACAGCCAGCUCCUGCAUACUUCCCUAAUGCUAAGGUCCAUGCCAUCAAACUUAGGAGGUUGGAUCAACUUGCACUUGAAUUUCUGGAACACAAGCAUGCAAAAUGCAGAAACUGGCUGUACCCUGGUGACAGGGGAAAAGGCGUCCCUCCCAUGGGUGGAUCAGAAAUCAAGGGCUCUGCCGCUGCUCUUUGAGGGUAGUGGGUAAGAGUGUGGUCCUUGAACAGAAUCAAACCUGGCCUAACUCUUACUUGUCACUUACCAGCAAUGUAAUCUUGGCUGUGUCUCUGAACUCCCAUUUCUCUAUCUGGGGGAGGGAAAUGGUAAGAACACCCCUAAACUGUUAGAGGAAGGAAUGUCUGGCAUAUAGCAGGUGCUCAAUAAAUGUCCAUUCUUAUUAGAAUUUCUGGAAGAAACAGGCAAUGGUUCCCUGAAAUACCACUGGACUGUCACAAGCAUUUCAGUUGGGUUUCAUGCACUGUCUGAAGAGAUUGAUCCAAGCACCUUGGAUACAUCCGUAGCUCAACAUUAAAAGGCCAAGGUUAUAUCUUCCACUCCCAUCCUUCCCCUCCAGAGCCCCCCUCGGUGGAAAUGACAGAGUCAGGUAAGACACCUUCCUGGGGGAAAGCAUAUCUGCACUCAGGGAACAUGUUCAAGAAUUCAGCCUCUGCCUCUUCAGGCCUUAUAUGAUGUAUGGAUUACAGUAUAAAAAGAUCAAAUAUCUGGAGGCACAGGACUUGGAUUCUAAUCUUGGAUCCUAAUUCUGGCCCUGUUGGUUACCAGCUGUGUGAUCUUGGCUAAGUCACCUACCCUCUGUAAGCCUCAAAUUCCUCAUCUGUAAUAUGGAGGACCUACCUCACAAAUCAGAUGAUGAGAGGGAGAAUGUUUGGGGGUAUAGCCAUACUAUACAGUAUGGCUCAGGCCUAAGGUUCUUGAAUUUGCUUGUUUUUCCUCUUGGCCUAUUUUACUACAGGUUAAAAAUCUGUUAUCUGGCCAGGUGCAGUGGCUCACACCUGUAAUCCUAGCACCUUGGGAAGUCAAGGUGGGUGGAUCACUUGAGAUCUCAAGUUUGAGAUCAGCCUAGGCAACAUGGUGAAAACCUGUUCUACAAAAAAUACAAAAAUUAGCCGGGUGUGGUGGGGCACACCUGUAGUCCCAGCUGCUUGGGAGGCUGAGGUGGGAGGAUCGCUUGAGCCCAGGAGGCGGAGGUUGCUGUGAGCCAAGAUGGCACCACUGUACUCCAGCCUGGGUGAUAGAGCCAGACCUUGUCUCAAAAACCAAAACAACGACAACAAAAUCUCUCUUAUCUACAAUUCCAAAAUGCAAAAGCAUCUGAGAAACAAUAUUUUUUUGUAAUUCAUUUGGCUGCAAAACUUGUACUGAAUUGAUGAGUCCAUUUAUAGACUUUAUCCCACUUAUGAUGAAUAUUCAUCAGUUUUACUGCAGAAAUAAUAACGUGUUUGACUUGAGAAUGUUGUCUCAGUUACCUCUGGGGGUGUCAAAUACUGCAUGAGAUAUUCUGAAUUAUGAAACUCAUCUGGCCCCAUGAGUUUUGCUUAACAAGUUAUGGACUUAUAUUCUAGGAGUAUAUCCUAAUCUAUACUCAUUGAUGUAUCACCUGCAUGAUUUUGUCAUAUCCUUCUAACACCUGUAUUAAUACUUGCUUCAUACACUUUAGUUGAGUCCAUUUUUAUUUACUUUUCCAAAUGAACCUUGUUUAAAUGCACAGUGAAAAAUACCUAAUUAUUAAUAAAAAUGUUUGUCUACAUGACAUUUCAAAGCAUCCUGCUUAUCACAGUGAAAUGCACCCCACACUUUAAGCAACAGUCAUCUCAAACUAGCACAACGGGUUAGCUCUUAAAUAGUUGGAAUGCAAGCAAUAAGGGUGACAUCUGUGAGGUGGACUCUUCUUUGAGGUUUUCAGUUAUAAAUAUUCAGCAGUACAAUUCCACCAAAUGCUGGUUGCAUUCCUGCUGUGAACACGACACUGCUUAACCACAUAAGCUAUGAUGUUUUGUUGGAAAACCACAAACAGCCAGUAAAGAUGGCUGAUGGAGCGCCACUCAGAACAGCUUACCUAUGAUAAGUUCUUUCACAGACAUUCAUGUCCAUUUCCCUCGUUCACCAACAGGAGAGGUAGUAUUAGAAGAAUUUAAAACAAAAAACCAGGCCCACACGGAUUGAGAGCUUGACCCAAGAUCUCACAAGUUCCAGGCAGAGCUGAGAGUCCUGGAAUUCAGGUCCCUGCUGCUGACCUGGACAUGCCUCUGCUACAUAAAGCCACAGUCUUUCCUGCUCAGGGCACUGCUGACGCCACUUUCUGCCCUGGUUUAUACGUUAAUAUUCACAAAAGCUGCUGGGAGCCUGGACUUUCAUAAAACCAGCCUGCUCUCGGACUAAAAUACCCCCCUGUGGCCUAGUUACGAUCCUUUCCUGUUCUCCAUUAAAAAGCUCCGCAGUGGCUGAAGGGGUCUCACAAGGCUUUUAGAGGUUUAGCAAAUCUUCAAAAUGGACCAAGAAGAAUUGGUAACUGUCUUAGCAUUUUCCACAAAGUUAGAGAAACAGCAGUUAGUGGAAACAGGGCAAGGCCCAGAUAAUCUGUUCCAAGGCCACAUAUGACAUCAUAAUUUAGCCUUUUGGUAAUCAAAAAUUUCCCAAUGAUCCGAACAAGUAAAGGAAAAUCCCAACCCACCUGUAUUAGUCCAUUCUCACAAUGCAAUAAAGAACUGCUCGAGACUGGGUAAUUUAUAAAGGAAAGAUGUUUAAUUGAUUCACAGUUCCGCAUGUCUGGGCAAGCCUCAGGAAACUUACAGUCAUGGCAGAAGGGGAAGUAAAUAUGUCCUUCUUCACAUGAUGGCAGGAAAAUAACGCAGAG